CCUUGUACACACCGCCCGUCACACCAUGGGAGUGGGUUGCAAAAGAAGUAGGUAGUCUAACCUUCGGGAGGGCGCUUACCACUUUGUGAUUCAUGACUGGGGUG
RNAcentral lists this ribosomal RNA (104 nucleotides) under uncultured bacterium. Its description in RNAcentral is "partial 16S ribosomal RNA". It matches the Rfam family "Bacterial small subunit ribosomal RNA", at positions 1379 to 1482 of the family's 1533-position model. The record is from RNAcentral.